GCAUAUCAAUAACCGGAGGAAAAGAAACUAACAAGGAUUCCCCUAGUAACGGCGAGUGAACCGGGAUGAGCUCAAAUUUGAAAUCUGGCGUCCUCAGGGCGUCCGAGUUGUAAUCUAUAGAGGCGUUUUCCGUGCCGGACCGUGUCCAAGUCCCUUGGAACAGGGUAUCAAAGAGGGUGACAAUCCCGUACUUGACACGACGACCGGUGCUCUGUGAUACGUCUUCUACGAGUCGAGUUGUUUGGGAAUGCAGCUCAAAAUGGGUGGUGAGUUCCAUCUAAAGCUAAAUAUUGGCGAGAGACCGAUAGCGAACAAGUACCGUGAGGGAAAGAUGAAAAGCACUUUGGAAAGAGAGUUAAACAGUACGUGAAAUUGUUGAAAGGGAAACGAUUGAAGUCAGUCGUGACUGUUGGGCUCAGCAGGUUCUGCCUGUGUAUUCCCUUCAGUCGGGUCAACAUCAGUUUUGACCGGUGGAUAAGGGCAGCAGGAAUGUGGCACCCUCGGGUGUGUUAUAGCCUGUCGUCGCAUACAUCGGUCGAGACUGAGGAACGCAGCUCGCCUUUAUGGCCGGGGUUCGCCCACGUCCGAGCUUAGGAUGUUGACAUAAUGGCUUUAAACG
This 619-nucleotide ribosomal RNA is filed under the name Rhynchogastrema complexa. RNAcentral's name for it is "eukaryotic LSU rRNA". It matches the Rfam family "Eukaryotic large subunit ribosomal RNA", at positions 38 to 646 of the family's 3401-position model. Lineage: Eukaryota; Fungi; Basidiomycota; Tremellomycetes; Tremellales; Rhynchogastremaceae. The record is from RNAcentral.